Molecule: ribosomal RNA, 451 nt
Filed under: uncultured bacterium
Lineage: Bacteria
Description: bacterial SSU rRNA
Rfam family: Bacterial small subunit ribosomal RNA
Source: RNAcentral
CGCAUGGAUUAGGCAUGCAAGUUGAACGAACUCCUUCGGGAGUGAGUAGCGGAAGGGUGAGGAACGCGUGAGUAAUCUGCCCCCCAGUUGGGAAUAACAGUUGGAAACGACUGCUAAUACCGAAUGUGGCUUAAGCUUCGCCUGGAGCUUUGGCUAAAGAUUUAUCGCUGGGGGAUGAGCUCGCGUCCCAUUAGGUAGUUGGUGAGGUAACGGCUCACCAAGCCGACGAUGGGUAGCUGGUCUGAGAGGAUGGUCAGCCACACUGGGACUGAGACACUGCCCAGACUCCUACGGGAGGCUGCAGUCGAGAAUCUUGGGCAAUGCGCGAAAGCGUGACCCAGCAAUGCCGCGUGUAUGAUGAAGGCCCUCGGGUCGUAAAGUACUGUCUCCCGUGACGAAAUUUGACGGUAGCGGGGAAGGAAGCCACGGCUAACUACGUGCCAGCCGCGGC